GUAAACGAUGAAUACUAGGUGUUGGCUUCAUUUGGAGCCAGUGCCGCAGCUAACGCAUUAAGUAUUCCACCUGGGGAGUACGAUCGCAAGGUUGAAACUCAAAGGAAUUGACGGGGGCCCGCACAAGCAGUGGAGCAUGUGGUUUAAUUCGAUGCAACGCGAAGAACCUUACCUAGGCUUGAAAGGCAAGCGAUAGGGUAUGAAAGUACCCCUCCAGCAAUGGCGCUUGUACAGGUGCUGCAUGGCUGUCGUCAGCUCGUGCCGUGAGGUGUUGGGUUAAGUCUCGCAACGAGCGCAACCCCUACCAUUAGUUGCCAUCAGGUUACGCUGGGCACUCUAAUGGGACUGCCUACGCAAGUAGUGAGGAAGGUGGGGAUGACGUCAAGUCAGCAUGGCCCUUACGUCUAGGGCUACACACGUGCUACAAUGGGUGCUACAACGGGUAGCUAAACCGCAAGGUGGAGCCAAUCCCUAAAAGGCAUCCUCAGUUCGGAUUGGAGUCUGCAACCCGACUCCAUGAAGCUGGAAUUGCUAGUAAUCGCGCAUCAGCAUGGCGCGGUGAAUACGUUCCCGGGCCUUGUACACACCGCCCGUCAAGCCAUGGAAGCCGGGGGUACCCGAAGUCAGUGACUCAACCGCAAGGGGAGAACUGCCUAAGGUAAAACCGGUGACUGGGGCUAAGUCGUAACAAGGUAACCA
RNAcentral lists this ribosomal RNA (699 nucleotides) under uncultured bacterium. RNAcentral's name for it is "bacterial SSU rRNA". It matches the Rfam family "Bacterial small subunit ribosomal RNA", at positions 802 to 1502 of the family's 1533-position model. The record is from RNAcentral.